RNAcentral lists this ribosomal RNA (406 nucleotides) under Nocardia farcinica. RNAcentral's name for it is "bacterial SSU rRNA". It matches the Rfam family "Bacterial small subunit ribosomal RNA", at positions 94 to 515 of the family's 1533-position model. Lineage: Bacteria; Bacillati; Actinomycetota; Actinomycetes; Mycobacteriales; Nocardiaceae. The record is from RNAcentral.
AGCGGCGAACGGGUGAGUAACACGUGGGUGAUCUGCCCUGUACUUCGGGAUAAGCCUGGGAAACUGGGUCUAAUACCGGAUAUGACCUUACAUCGCAUGGUGUUUGGUGGAAAGAUUUAUCGGUACAGGAUGGGCCCGCGGCCUAUCAGCUUGUUGGUGGGGUAAUGGCCUACCAAGGCGACGACGGGUAGCCGGCCUGAGAGGGCGACCGGCCACACUGGGACUGAGACACGGCCCAGACUCCUACGGGAGGCAGCAGUGGGGAAUAUUGCACAAUGGGCGAAAGCCUGAUGCAGCGACGCCGCGUGAGGGAUGACGGCCUUCGGGUUGUAAACCUCUUUCGACAGGGACGAAGCGCAAGUGACGGUACCUGUAGAAGAAGCACCGGCCAACUACGUGCCAGAGC